Molecule: microRNA precursor, 124 nt
Filed under: Pelobates cultripes (western spadefoot toad)
Lineage: Eukaryota; Metazoa; Chordata; Amphibia; Anura; Pelobatidae
Source: RNAcentral
AUAUAGUCCCUUGCAAAAGUAGUCACCCCCCUUGGCAUUUUUUCGUAUUGAAAAUUCCAGGUUGUGAGGCAACAAAACACGAAAAAAUGCCAAGGGGGGUGAAUACCUUUGCAAGGGACUAUAU